GCUCUCUGGGUGGCGAGUGGCGGACGGGUGAGGAAUACAUCGGAAUCUACUUUUUCGUGGGGGAUAACGUAGGGAAACUUACGCUAAUACCGCAUACGACCUACGGGUGAAAGCAGGGGAUCUUCGGACCUUGCGCGAUUGAAUGAGCCGAUGUCGGAUUAGCUAGUUGGCGGGGUAAAGGCCCACCAAGGCGACGAUCCGUAGCUGGUCUGAGAGGAUGAUCAGCCACACUGGAACUGAGACACGGUCCAGACUCCUACGGGAGGCAGCAGUGGGGAAUAUUGGACAAUGGGCGCAAGCCUGAUCCAGCCAUACCGCGUGGGUGAAGAAGGCCUUCGGGUUGUAAAGCCCUUUUGUUGGGAAAGAAAUCCAGCUGGUUAAUACCCGGUUGGGAUGACGGUACCCAAAGAAUAAGCACCGGCUAACUUCGUGCCAGCAGCCGCGGUAAUACGAAGGGUGCAAGCGUUACUCGGAAUUACUGGGCGUAAAGCGUGCGUAGGUGGUCGUUUAAGUCCGUUGUGAAAGC
This 526-nucleotide ribosomal RNA is filed under the name Stenotrophomonas maltophilia. Its description in RNAcentral is "bacterial SSU rRNA". It matches the Rfam family "Bacterial small subunit ribosomal RNA", at positions 78 to 601 of the family's 1533-position model. The record is from RNAcentral. Lineage: Bacteria; Pseudomonadati; Pseudomonadota; Gammaproteobacteria; Lysobacterales; Lysobacteraceae.